This 474-nucleotide ribosomal RNA is filed under the name uncultured bacterium. RNAcentral describes it as "bacterial SSU rRNA". It matches the Rfam family "Bacterial small subunit ribosomal RNA", at positions 8 to 525 of the family's 1533-position model. The record is from RNAcentral.
AGAGUUUGAUCCUGGCUCAGGAUGAACGCUGGCGACGUGGAUAAGGCAUGCAAGUCGAACGGCUAUAGCAAUAUAGCAGUGGCGAAUGGGUUAGUAACACGUAGAUACAAACCUUUUACUCAGGCAUAACCCGGAGAAAUCCAGGCUAAUUCCUGAUAGUCCCGCAAGGGUAAAGAUUUAUCGGUAAAAGAUUGGUCUGCGUCCUAUCAGCUAGUUGGUGAGGUAAUGGCUCACCAAGGCGAUGACGGGUAGGCGGAGUGAGAGCUUGGCCGCCAACAAUGGCACUGAGACACGGGCCAUACUCCUACGGGAGGCAGCAGUCGAGAAUAUUCGACAAUGGGCGCAAGCCUGAUCGAGCGACGUCGCGUGUGGGAUUAAGAUCUUCGGAUUGUAAACCACUUUUCUGGGGGAAGAAUUUUGACGGUACCUCAGGAAUAAGGGGCGACUAAACUCGUGCCAGCAGCCGCGGUAAUA